RNAcentral lists this ribosomal RNA (439 nucleotides) under uncultured bacterium. RNAcentral's name for it is "partial 16S ribosomal RNA". It matches the Rfam family "Bacterial small subunit ribosomal RNA", at positions 339 to 795 of the family's 1533-position model. The record is from RNAcentral.
CUACGGGAUGCUCCAGUGAGGAAUAUUGCACAAUGGGGGGAACCCUGAUGCAGCAACGCCGCGUGGAGGAUGACGCAUUUCGGUGUGUAAACUCCUUUUAUAUGUCAAGAAAAUGACGGUAGCAUAUGAAUAAGCGCCGGCUAACUCCGUGCCAGCAGCCGCGGUAAUACGGAGGGCGCAAGCGUUACUCGGAAUCACUGGGCGUAAAGGACGCGUAGGCGGGUUGGAAAGUCAGGUGUGAAAUCCUACAGCUUAACUGUAGAACUGCACUUGAAACUUCUAAUCUAGAGUAUGGGAGGGGGAGAUGGAAUUAGUGGUGUAGGGGUAAAAUCCGUAGAUAUCACUAGGAAUACCUAAAGCGAAGGCGAUCUCCUGGAACAUUACUGACGCUAAGGCGUGAAAGCGUGGGGAGCAAACAGGAUUAGAUACCCUGGUAGUC